GCAGCCAUCAUUUAAAGAAAGCGUAAUAGCUCACUGGUCGAGUCGGCCUGCGCGGAAGAUGUAACGGGGCUAAACCAUGCACCGAAGCUGCGGCAGCGACGCUUAUGCGUUGUUGGGUAGGGGAGCGUUCUGUAAGCCUGUGAAGGUGGCCUGUGAGGGUUGCUGGAGGUAUCAGAAGUGCGAAUGCUGACAUAAGUAACGAUAAAGCGGGUGAAAAGCCCGCUCGCCGGAAGACCAAGGGUUCCUGUCCAACGUUAAUCGGGGCAGGGUGAGUCGACCCCUAAGGCGAGGCCGAAAGGCGUAGUCGAUGGGAAACGGGUUAAUAUUCCCGUACUUGGUGUUACUGCGAAGGGGGGACGGAGAAGGCUAUGUUGGCCGGGCGACGGUUGUCCCGGUUUAAGCGUGUAGGUGUGUGUUCCAGGUAAAUCCGGUUCACUUUAACACUGAGGCGUGACGACGAGGCACUACGGUGCUGAAGCAACAAAUGCCCUGCUUCCAGGAAAAGCCUCUAAGCAUCAGGUAACAUCAAAUCGUACCCCAAACCGACACAGGUGGUCAGGUAGAGAAUACCAAGGCGCUUGAGAGAACUCGGGUGAAGGAACUAGGCAAAAUGGUGCCGUAACUUCGGGAGAAGGCACGCUGACACGUAGGUGAAGUGAUUUACUCA
RNAcentral lists this ribosomal RNA (667 nucleotides) under Salmonella enterica subsp. enterica serovar Weltevreden. RNAcentral describes it as "partial 23S ribosomal RNA". It matches the Rfam family "Bacterial large subunit ribosomal RNA", at positions 1112 to 1772 of the family's 2925-position model. Lineage: Bacteria; Pseudomonadati; Pseudomonadota; Gammaproteobacteria; Enterobacterales; Enterobacteriaceae. The record is from RNAcentral.